Molecule: ribosomal RNA, 253 nt
Filed under: uncultured bacterium
Lineage: Bacteria
Description: partial 16S ribosomal RNA
Rfam family: Bacterial small subunit ribosomal RNA
Source: RNAcentral
UACAUGGGGUGCAACCGUUGCUCGGAAUUAGUGGGCGUAAAGCGCGCGUAGGCGGUUACUUAAGUCGGAUGUGAAAGCCCUCGGCUUAACUGAGGAAGUGCACCCGAAACUGAGUAGCUAGAGUACGAAAGAGGGUCGCGGAAUUCCCGGUGUAGAGGUGAAAUUCGUAGAUAUCGGGAGGAACACCGGUGGCGAAGGCGGCGACCUGGGUCGAGACUGACGCUGAGGCGCGAAAGCGUGGGGAGCAAACAGG